Molecule: ribosomal RNA, 465 nt
Filed under: Vreelandella stevensii
Lineage: Bacteria; Pseudomonadati; Pseudomonadota; Gammaproteobacteria; Oceanospirillales; Halomonadaceae
Description: partial 16S ribosomal RNA
Rfam family: Bacterial small subunit ribosomal RNA
Source: RNAcentral
CCUACGGGUGGCAGCAGUGGGGAAUAUUGGACAAUGGGGGCAACCCUGAUCCAGCCAUGCCGCGUGUGUGAAGAAGGCCCUCGGGUUGUAAAGCACUUUCAGUGAGGAAGAACGCCUGGUGGUUAAUACCCAUCAGGAAAGACAUCACUCACAGAAGAAGCACCGGCUAACUCCGUGCCAGCAGCCGCGGUAAUACGGAGGGUGCGAGCGUUAAUCGGAAUUACUGGGCGUAAAGCGAGCGUAGGUGGCUUGAUAAGCCGGUUGUGAAAGCCCCGGGCUCAACCUGGGAACGGCAUCCGGAACUGUCAAGCUAGAGUGCAGGAGAGGAAGGUAGAAUUCCCGGUGUAGCGGUGAAAUGCGUAGAGAUCGGGAGGAAUACCAGUGGCGAAGGCGGCCUUCUGGACUGACACUGACACUGAGGUGCGAAAGCGUGGGUAGCAAACAGGAUUAGAUAUCCUAGUAGUC